GCCCAAUUUCUUCCUUAAAGCCGAAAAUUCGUUAUCCUUUCGAUCAAUCUCUGCUUGUAAAUGGUCCGAAACAAUCCCCAGAACUCUCAGCUUGCUUUGAUUUUCCUGUACUUGAGCUUCCAAGCAAGACCCAAUAGGCAAAGCUGCCCCGAAGUCGGGAUUCCUACACAAAUCCACAUAGAACUGCUUGAAAUCAGACAUACUCUGAAGAUGCGCAACCAGAGCUUCAUCCGCCGCCUUUAUACUGUCUUCAUUGAAAGGCACGUGGGCAAUCUGUAGCUGCAGAUACGAAGCUUCAAAUGAAGAAACUGUCGCAAAUAUAGAAGAAAUCAAAGUCUGAGCGGACUGAGCGUUU
Molecule: unclassified non-coding RNA, 355 nt
Filed under: Hevea brasiliensis (rubber tree)
Lineage: Eukaryota; Viridiplantae; Streptophyta; Magnoliopsida; Malpighiales; Euphorbiaceae
Source: RNAcentral